UCGAGCGAGUCUGCCUUGAAGAUCGGAGUGCUUGCACUCUGUGAAACAAGAUACAGGCUAGCGGCGGACGGGUGAGUAACACGUGGGUAACCUGCCCAAGAGAUCGGGAUAACACCUGGAAACAGAUGCUAAUACCGGAUAACAACAGAUGAUGCCUAUCAACUGUUUAAAAGAUGGUUCUGCUAUCACUCUUGGAUGGACCUGCGGUGCAUUAGCUAGUUGGUAGGGUAACGGCCUACCAAGGCGAUGAUGCAUAGCCGAGUUGAGAGACUGAUCGGCCACAUUGGGACUGAGACACGGCCCUAACUCCUACGGGAGGCAGCAGUAGGGAAUCUUCCACAAUGGACGCAAGUCUGAUGGAGCAACGCCGCGUGAGUGAAGAAGGGUUUCGGCUCGUAAAGCUCUGUUGUUGGUGAAGAAGGACAGGGGUAGUAACUGACCUUUGUUUGACGGUAAUCAAUUAGAAAGUCACGGCUAACUACGUGCCAGCAGCCGCGGUAAUACGUAGGUGGCAAGCGUUGUCCGGAUUUAUUGGGCGUAAAGCGAGUGCAGGCGGCUCGAUAAGACUGAUGUGAAAGCCUUCGGCUCAACCGGAGAAUUGCAUCAGAAACUGUCGAGCUUGAGUACAGAAGAGGAGAGUGGAACUCCAUGUGUAGCGGUGAAAUGCGUAGAUAUAUGGAAGAACACCGGUGGCGAAGGCGGCUCUCUGGUCUGUUACUGACGCUGAGGCUCGAAAGCAUGGGUAGCGAACAGGAUUAGAUACCCUGGUAGUCCAUGCCGUAAACGAUGAGUGCUAAGUGUUGGGAGGUUUCCGCCUCUCAGUGCUGCAGCUAACGCAUU
This 840-nucleotide ribosomal RNA is filed under the name uncultured bacterium. RNAcentral describes it as "bacterial SSU rRNA". It matches the Rfam family "Bacterial small subunit ribosomal RNA", at positions 62 to 861 of the family's 1533-position model. The record is from RNAcentral.